Molecule: long non-coding RNA, 324 nt
Filed under: Bos taurus (domestic cattle)
Lineage: Eukaryota; Metazoa; Chordata; Mammalia; Artiodactyla; Bovidae
Description: long non-coding RNA NONBTAT025276
Source: RNAcentral
UGACUGGUGGCUUUUAUAAACUAGGUUCAGUUUUUGAACCGCCCAGAAUACCUCAUGUGUAAAUACAAUAGUCAUGACUUAAUUGAAAUACAGUUAUUGUAAAAAGAAUGUGAAGCCACUGGUUGGCUUAUGCCUUCUGAUUAUUAUCCUCGCCUCUUUUUUUGUAAAGGGGUUGUUUUUUGUUUUUGUUUUUAAAUAGGGUUUACAGCUAGAAUUUUGAAUGCCAAAGUUCUAUUUAUUAAAUUUUAAAAAGUUUUCAAUGUUAAUGGCUAAGUAUUUUUCCACUGGACUAUUGUUUGUUGAUGUUGGAAUUUGUAUUAACAG